Molecule: ribosomal RNA, 1424 nt
Filed under: metagenome
Description: bacterial SSU rRNA
Rfam family: Bacterial small subunit ribosomal RNA
Source: RNAcentral
AGAGUUUGAUCCCGGCUCAGGAUGAACGCUAGCGGCGUGGAUAAGGCAUGCAAGUCGAACGCCCCAAUUUAUUGGGGAGUGGCGAACGGGUUAGUAACACGUAGAUAUGCACCUUGAAGUCUCGGAUAGCCUAUCGAAAGAUAGGGUAAUACGAGAUAGUCCCGUAAGGGUAAAGAUUUAUUGCUUCAAGAUCGGUCUGCGAUCUAUCAGCUUGUUGGUAAGGUAAAGGCUUACCAAGGCUAUGACGGAUAGGGGACAUGAGAGUGUGAUCCCCAACAAGGGCACUGCGACACGGGCCCUACUCCUACGGGAGGCAGCAGUCGAGAAUAUUCCACAAUGGGCGAAAGCCUGAUGGAGCGACGCCGCGUGCUUGAAGAAGCUCUUCGGAGUGUAAAAAGCUUUUCUGUCUGAGAAAACUUCGGUUGAUGUUAGGACAGGAAUAAGGGGCUGCUAAUCAUGUGCCAGAAGCAUCGGUAAUACAUGAGCCUCAAGCGUUAUCCGGAUUUAUUGGGCGUAAAGCGUCCGUAGGCGACUUAUCAGGUCUUCUGUUAAAGAUCAAGGCUCAACCUUGAGAAUGCAGUAGAAACCGGUAGGAUAGAGGGCAUUAGGGGCUAAUGGAACGGUCGGUGUAGGGGUGAAAUCCGUUGAUAUCGACCGGAAUACCAAAAGCGAAGGCAUUUAGCUGGAAUGACCCUGACGCUGAGGGACGAAAGCGUGGGUAGCGAACGAGAUUAGAUACCUCGGUAGUCCACGCCGUAAACGAUGGAUACUAGCUAUUUGAAGUGUCGACCCUUCAAGUGGCGAAGCUAACGCGUUAAGUAUCCCGCCUGGGAAGUACGAUCGCAAGAUUAAAACUCAAAGGAAUAGACGGGGCUUUACACAAGCAGUGGACCAUGUGGCUUAAUUCGACGAUAAGCGAAGAACCUCACCAGGGCUUGACACUUAACUGAAAGCUUUCCGAAAGGAUUGCCCCUUUUUAGUAGUUAAGCAGGUGUUGCAUGGUUGUCGUCAGCAUGUGCUUUGAAGUGCUCCCUUAAAUGGGGCAACAUGCGCAACCCUCGCUCUAUGUUUUAUAUGUCAUAGAGAACUGCCCGGGAUAACCGGGAGGAAGGUGAGGACGACGCCAAAUCAGCAUGACCCUUUGACGCCCUGGGCUGCACACGUGGUACAAUGGGACUGACAAUGGGCAAAGUCGCAAGACGGAGGUAAUCCCAUCAAACGGUCUCUUAGUCCGGAUUGGGGUCUGAAACUCGACCCCAUGAAGUCGGAAUUGCUAGUAAUCGCUAAUCAGCCAUGUAGCGAUGAAUAUGUUUCUAAAGCUUGUACUCACCGCCCAUCACGUUAGGGAAGCCGGCGGUAGCCGAUAUCCCCACUAGUUGGGGCCUAAGCUGAAGUCGGUAACUAGAACGAAGUUGUAACAAGGC